CCUACGGGUGGCAGCAGUGAGGAAUAUUGGUCAAUGGACGAGAGUCUGAACCAGCCAAGUAGCGUGAAGGAUGACUGCCCUAUGGGUUGUAAACUUCUUUUAUAAAGGAAUAAAACGAGGCACGUGUGCCUUUUUGCAUGUACUUUAUGAAUAAGGAUCGGCUAACUCCGUGCCAGCAGCCGCGGUAAUACGGAGGAUCCGAUCGUUAUCCGGAUUUAUUGGGUUUAAAGGGAGCGUAGAUGGGUUGUUAAGUCAGUUGUGAAAGUUUGCGGCUCAACCGUAAAAUUGCAAUUGAUACUGGCAGUCGUGAGUACAGUUGAGGUAGGCGGAAUUCGUGGUGGAGCGGUGAAAUGCUUAGAUAUCACGAAGAACCCCGAUUGCGAAGGCAGCUUACUAAACUGUGACUGACAUUGAUGCUCGAAAGUGUGGGUAUCAAACAGGAUUAGAUACCCUAGUAGUC
Molecule: ribosomal RNA, 460 nt
Filed under: uncultured bacterium
Lineage: Bacteria
Description: partial 16S ribosomal RNA
Rfam family: Bacterial small subunit ribosomal RNA
Source: RNAcentral